Molecule: transfer RNA, 88 nt
Filed under: Phaeovibrio sulfidiphilus
Lineage: Bacteria; Pseudomonadati; Pseudomonadota; Alphaproteobacteria; Rhodospirillales; Rhodospirillaceae
Description: tRNA-Ser
Rfam family: tRNA
About the family: Transfer RNA (tRNA) molecules are approximately 80 nucleotides in length. Their secondary structure includes four short double-helical elements and three loops (D, anti-codon, and T loops).
Source: RNAcentral
GGAGAGGUGGCAGAGUGGUCGAUUGCGCCGGUCUUGAAAACCGGAGAGGGGCAACCCUCCGUGGGUUCGAAUCCCACCCUCUCCGCCA